RNAcentral lists this ribosomal RNA (61 nucleotides) under Comoclathris incompta. RNAcentral describes it as "Pleospora incompta partial 28S ribosomal RNA". It matches the Rfam family "Eukaryotic large subunit ribosomal RNA", at positions 1 to 60 of the family's 3401-position model. Lineage: Eukaryota; Fungi; Ascomycota; Dothideomycetes; Pleosporales; Pleosporaceae. The record is from RNAcentral.
UUGACCUCGGAUCAGGUAGGGAUACCCGCUGAACUUAAGCAUAUCAAUAAGCGGAGGAACC